Long non-coding RNA from Salarias fasciatus (jewelled blenny), 96 nucleotides. RefSeq lists it as uncharacterized. The transcript has 3 exons. Lineage: Eukaryota; Metazoa; Chordata; Actinopteri; Blenniiformes; Blenniidae. The record is from RefSeq and is a predicted model, not a curated record.
GUACAUUAUAAGGUGUAAAUUGUACUCAAGUAUGAGUGAAAUUACACACUUGAAAAAAAAUAAUCAUGAAAGUGCAAUCCAAUCAAUACAAGAAAU